UGCAGUCGACGGUAACGGGCCUUCGGGUGCCGACGAGUGGCGAACGGGUGASYAWUGCAUCGGAACGUACCUUUCAGUGGGGGAUAACGUAGCGAAAGUUACGCUAAUACCGCAUAUUCUGUGAGCAGGAAAGCAGGGGAUCGCAAGACCUUGCGCUGAUUGAGCGGCCGAUGUCAGAUUAGCUAGUUGGUGAGGUAAAGGCUCACCAAGGCGACGAUCUGUAGCGGGUCUGAGAGGAUGAUCCGCCACACUGGAACUGAGACGCGGUCCAGACUCCUACGGGAGGCAGCAGUGGGGAAUUUUGGACAAUGGGGGCAACCCUGAUCCAGCCAUGCCGCGUGAGUGAAGAAGGCCUUCGGGUUGUAAAGCUCUUUCGGCCGGGAAGAAAUCGCAUGGGUUAAUACCCUGUGGGAUGACGGUACCGGCAUAAGAAGCACCGGCUAACUACGUGCCAGCAGCCGCGGUAAUACGUAGGGUGCGAGCGUUAAUCGGAAUUACUGGGCGUAAAGCGUGCGCAGGCGGUUUUGUAAGACAGGCGUGAAAUCCCCGGGCUCAACCUGGGAACUGCGCUUGUGGCUGCAAGGCUAGAGUACGGCAGAGGGGGGUGGAAUUCCACGUGUAGCAGUGAAAUGCGUAGAGAUGUGGAGGAACACCAAUGGCGAAGGCAGCCCCCUGGGUCGAUACUGACGCUCAUGCACGAAAGCGUGGGUAGCAAACAGGAUUAGAUACCCUGGUAGUCCACGCCCUAAACGAUGUCAACUAGGUGUUGGGUGGGUAAAACCAUUUAGUACCGUAGCUAACGCGUGAAGUUGACCGCCUGGGGAGUACGGCCGCAAGGUUAAAACUCAAAGGAAUUGACGGGGACCCGCACAAGCGUGGAUGAUGUGGAUUAAUUCGAUGCAACGCGAAAAACCUUACCUACCCUUGACAUGUCAGAAACUUGGCAGAGAUGCCUUGGUGCCCGAAAGGGAAUCUGAUCACAGGUGCUGCAUGGCUGUCGUCAGCUCGUGUCGUGAGAUGUUGGGUUAAGUCCCGCAACGAGCGCAACCCUUGUCGUUAAUUGCCAUCAUUUAGUUGGGCACUUUAACGAGACUGCCGGUGACAAACCGGAGGAAGGUGGGGAUGACGUCAAGUCCUCAUGGCCCUUAUGGGUAGGGCUUCACACGUCAUACAAUGGUCGGUACAGAGGGUUGCCAAGCCGCGAGGUGGAGCCAAUCCCAGAAAGCCGAUYGURGUCCGGAUUGCAGGCUGCAACUCGCCUGCAUGAAGUCGGAAUCGCUAGUAAUCGCGGAUCAG
RNAcentral lists this ribosomal RNA (1296 nucleotides) under uncultured bacterium. RNAcentral's name for it is "bacterial SSU rRNA". The record is from RNAcentral.